Molecule: ribosomal RNA, 551 nt
Filed under: uncultured bacterium
Lineage: Bacteria
Description: bacterial SSU rRNA
Rfam family: Bacterial small subunit ribosomal RNA
Source: RNAcentral
UGGGGAAUCUUGCGCAAUGGGGGAAACCCUGACGCAGCAACGCCGCGUGGGUGAUGAAGGCCUUCGGGUCGUAAAGCCCUGUCAGGUGGGAAGAAACUUGUGGAUGUUAAUACCAUCCACACUUGACGGUACCACCGGAGGAAGCACCGGCUAACUCCGUGCCAGCAGCCGCGGUAAUACGGAGGGUGCAAGCGUUGUUCGGAAUUAUUGGGCGUAAAGCGCGUGUAGGUGGUCAGGUAAGUCAGAUGUGAAAGCCUUCUGCUUAACAGAAGAAGUGCAUUUGAAACUGCUUGGCUAGAGUACGGGAGAGGAGAGUGGAAUUCCCGGUGUAGAGGUGAAAUUCGUAGAUAUCGGGAGGAACACCAGUGGCGAAGGCGGCUCUCUGGUCCGAUACUGACGCUGAGACGCGAAAGCGUGGGGAGCAAACAGGAUUAGAUACCCUGGUAGUCCACGCCGUAAACGAUGGGCACUAGGUGUAGGAGGUAUUGACCCCUUCUGUGCCGAAGCUAACGCAUUAAGUGCCCCGCCUGGGGAGUACGGCCGCAAGGCUA